This 962-nucleotide long non-coding RNA is filed under the name Malus domestica (apple). RNAcentral's name for it is "long non-coding RNA (MDOM_LNC017369)". The record is from RNAcentral. Lineage: Eukaryota; Viridiplantae; Streptophyta; Magnoliopsida; Rosales; Rosaceae.
CCCGGUCCGACCGGUUCAGGGUCCACCGGUUCCACCACGUCGAGUUCUGGUGCACCGACGCCACCAACGCCGCCCUCCGAUUCUCCUGGGGACUCGGCAUGCCCAUGGUAGCUAAGUCCGACCUCUCCACCGGCAAUCAAACCCAUGCCUCCUACCUUCUCCGCUCCGGCGACCUCAAUUUCCUCUUCACCGCCCCGUACUCCCCCACCCUGACCCGAACCGCCGACCCGGCCCGGCCCAGCAACUCCAGCGCCUCCAUCCCCACCUUCGACCACACCGCCUCCCGCGCCUUCUCUGCCACCCACGGCCUCGGCGUCCGCGCCGUCGCCAUCCAAGUCGAAGACGCCGUCUCCGCCUUCACCACCAGCGUCGCCCACGGCGCCAAACCCUCGGCCGCCCCCAUCCUCCUCGACAACCGCGUCACCAUCGCGGAAGUCCAACUCUACGGCGACGUUGUUUUGCGGUACGUCAGCUACUCGGACCACAACCACCUCACAGAUCCGGACCCCAACCUCUGGUUCCUCCCCGGAUUCGAACCCCUACCGUCGUCGUUUCCAAUCGACUUCGGAAUCCGCCGCCUCGACCACGCCGUCGGCAACGUGGAGGAUCUCAAAUCGGUGAUAUCGUACGUCAAAGGCUUCACCGGAUUCCACGAGUUCGCCGAGUUCACCGCCGACGACGUCGGAACGAGCGAGAGCGGAUUAAACUCCGUCGUUUUGGCGAACAACGAGGAGAUGGUGCUGCUUCCGAUGAACGAGCCGGUGUACGGGACGAAGAGGAAGAGCCAGAUUCAGACGUACCUGGAGCACAACGAGGGGGCCGGACUCCAGCAUUUGGCGCUGGUGAGCGAGGACAUAUUCAGGACGCUGAGGGAGAUGCGGAGCCGCAGCAGCGUCGGCGGAUUUCAGUUUAUGCCGAAGCCGCCGCCGACGUAUUACGAGAAUUUGAAGAAGAGGGCAGGG